CUGGGAGGAAGGCAUUAUUACCUCAAUUUUACAGAUUUGGAGGUUGAGUCUUAGGAAAGGCCACCCUUUGAGACCUGGUGAAAGAUAAUCCGGAGCAAUUAUGUUCUGCAGUAAAAAGAAAUCACUCGAAGCAGAACGGAUAGUAAAAGCCAAUGACCGUGAAUAUAAUGAGAAGUUCCAGUACACAAUUCUUAACCCACAGAGCGAGGCCAGGGAUUGAACCCACAACCUCAUGGUUCCUAGUUGGAUUCGUUUCCACUGUGCCACGAUGGGAGCUCCAGACUCUGGGCUUUUAUUUUUUUUAUUUUUUAUUUUUAUUUAUUUAUUUAUUUAUUUAUUUAUUUUUUUUGUCUUUUGUCUUUGUUGUUGUUGUUGUUGUUAUUGUUGCUAUUCCUUGGGCCGCUCCCGCGGCAUAUGGAGGUUCCCAGGCUAGGGGUCCAAUCGGAGCUGUAGCCACCGGCCUACGCCAGAGCCACAGCAACGUGGGAUCCGAGCCGCGUCUGCAACCUACACCACAGCUCACGGCAACGCCGGAUCGUUAACCCACUGAGCAAGGGAAGGGACCGAACCCGCAACCUCAUGGUUCCUAGUCGGAUUCGUUAACCACUGCGCCACGACGGGAACUCCUUUUAUUUUAUUUUAUUUUAUUUUUUUUUGUCUUAAACUUUUGAUAUAGAUUUUUCUCUUAAACCUCACAUGGCUGUGGGCAGAUAUGCACAAUAAAUUUUAGAUUCUCUAUAAAGUACU
This 747-nucleotide long non-coding RNA is filed under the name Sus scrofa (pig). Its description in RNAcentral is "lncRNA (ENSSSCG00055017535.1)". Lineage: Eukaryota; Metazoa; Chordata; Mammalia; Artiodactyla; Suidae. The record is from RNAcentral.